GUACUGUUGAAAAGUCCCAAACUAGGACGAAACAGCUGUCCAGUAC
This is a non-coding RNA of Trichobilharzia regenti, 46 nucleotides long. The record is from Rfam. NCBI's taxonomy places the organism in Eukaryota, Metazoa, Platyhelminthes, Trematoda, Strigeidida, Schistosomatidae.